GACGAACGCUGGCGGCGUGCUUAACACAUGCAAGUCGAACGGAAAGGCCCUGCUUUUGUGGGGUGCUCGAGUGGCGAACGGGUGAGUAACACGUGAGUAACCUGCCCUUGACUUUGGGAUAACUUCAGGAAACUGGGGCUAAUACCGGAUAGGAGCUCCUGCUGCAUGGUGGGGGUUGGAAAGUUUCGGCGGUUGGGGAUGGACUCGCGGCUUAUCAGCUUGUUGGUGGGGUAGUGGCUUACCAAGGCUUUGACGGGUAGCCGGCCUGAGAGGGUGACCGGCACAUUUGGGACUGAGAAAGGGCCAGGACUCCUACGGGGGGAAGCAGUGGGAAAUAUGGACAAAUGGGGGGAGGCGUGAGCAGGAAACGCGGGGUGCGGGAUGACGGCUUUCGGGUGGAAAACGGCUUCGGCCUGUAAGAAAGGGUGAGUGCGGUAAAUGGGAAAGAAAGCCCCGGCUAACUACGUG
RNAcentral lists this ribosomal RNA (468 nucleotides) under uncultured bacterium. RNAcentral's name for it is "partial 16S ribosomal RNA". It matches the Rfam family "Bacterial small subunit ribosomal RNA", at positions 28 to 507 of the family's 1533-position model. The record is from RNAcentral.